RNAcentral lists this ribosomal RNA (429 nucleotides) under Bacillota bacterium. Its description in RNAcentral is "Firmicutes bacterium partial 16S ribosomal RNA". It matches the Rfam family "Bacterial small subunit ribosomal RNA", at positions 355 to 776 of the family's 1533-position model. Lineage: Bacteria; Bacillati; Bacillota. The record is from RNAcentral.
UGGGGAAUUUUGGACAAUGGGGGCAACCCUGAUCCAGCAAUGCCGCGUGUGUGAAGAAGGCCUUCGGGUUGUAAAGCACUUUUGUCCGGGAAGAAAUCGCACCUGAUAAUACCGGGUGUGGAUGACGGUACCGGAAGAAUAAGGACCGGCUAACUACGUGCCAGCAGCCGCGGUAAUACGUAGGGUCCAAGCGGUAAUCGGAAUUACUGGGCGUAAAGCGUGCGCAGGCGGUUGUGCAAGACCGAUGUGAAAUCCCCGGGCUUAACCUGGGAAUUGCAUUGGAGACUGCACGGCUAGAGUGUGUCAGAGGGGGGUAGAAUUCCACGUGUAGCAGUGAAAUGCGUAGAGAUGUGGAGGAAUACCGAUGGCGAAGGCAGCCCCCUGGGAUAACACUGACGCUCAUGCACGAAAGCGUGGGGAGCAAACAGG